Molecule: non-coding RNA, 3058 nt
Organism: Aegilops tauschii subsp. strangulata
Lineage: Eukaryota; Viridiplantae; Streptophyta; Magnoliopsida; Poales; Poaceae
Source: RefSeq, a predicted model, not a curated record
GGAAGAUCUCCCGUAAAAAAUUUUUGCUAAAGAUCUAGAAGAAAUGAAAUAGCUCAGGAAAAAUAGAUUUGCCCGACCAGACCCAUCUUCCCCAAUCUGGACGGCCCCACCUCCCCACGCCGUCGACGUCGCCAACUGCGCCAACCUCCCCACGAUGGUCAUCGCCUAAGAACCCCUCGCCUCUGCUUAUUGCUGGGGCAGUCGCCACUGCUGACGUUCCCCGUCGUCAUCGGCUCCUUCAUGCCCAUCUGCCAUCUCAAGGGCCCCUCGCCCUGCGCUCUACUGGACCUUCAGCGUCGCCGCCCUCAGCCGCCUGCGAGCCUUCGCCAGGUCUCCCCGCGCGCCAGGUCGUCUCUAUGUGCCGCCGCUUGAAGCUCCCCUGCUCGCGGCCCUCACCCACCGCCGCACUGGCCUAUCUGAUUAAUUGACGGUGCCGCCGACGCUGGUUCGUGGGAGUUGAUUACGGCAGCGUACAACCACCACUUCAUAGAGAACAUGGAAGAGGAGAAAGUAAAUGCAAAUGCCCAGCAGGUGGCCGGACCUUGGGACUCCAUCAGCGUCAACAAUGAGUGUAGUAAUCUGUGCAGAAAAACUCCUUUCGCAUAUCAGGUUCAAUCCACACUUCUCUCUGCCAGUCUGAAUGCUCCAUUUUUGUUUGCUAGAGUAUUUGACAUUGACAAUGUACUCCAACUAUUUUAUGAGUUGAACUUGCCAUGAAUUCAAUUCUAUAAAAGAGUUAACCUCAGGAAUUUGUUUAUCAGCCACUAAUACCGCAAAAAACUAUAGAACAAUGUUAUUACUGGUAAUGGAUAGAUGCACUGCAGAAAUAUGAAUAAUUUUGGUCAAAAGAAUGCAGGGCUGCUCUUUCUUAUUAGUUAUCCCUCUCAUGGUUCUUAAUAGAUCCCCUGGAAGCUCUUGAACCUACGGUGGAGUCAGUUCCCCGUCAGUAGGAACUGCUUGCGUUAGGCCAUCAGACUGUUAGUUGUAACCAUGUUAUUCGGUCGAGCUUUUCCAUCCAGCUGUCGAAAUAGUAUCAAAGUAGAAGUUGUUAAACAUGAAACUACCAAGUUAUGUACUCUGCUAUUAUGGUUGUGAUUUGUGAAGCUCGUACAGUCUGCUUGAUGUCUACACCAAAUUUACUUCAGGCAACAGGAUGAUGAGUUAUGGCAAGUCUUCAGGAUGUAGGGCUAAUCAUAGACGAAGAAUUCAUUGGCCCAGUUGCAGGAGAGUGUCCGAGAGUAAAUUUUACGAAGCUUAGUCCAUGCGCUGUCCCUCGCCGGUGGCACUCGCGAUGGAGGACUCCCUGCAUGGCUCCUCGGCAGCUCGACUACUCUCCGAGAACGGACGGCGGCGGACGCGGCUCACAUCCCCGACGUGGUGGCCGUCGUCUUGACUCCCUUCGAUGAUAGGUGACACCAUCCGCGUGGCACCCGUGGCGCACGCAAGACGACGGCCUUCAACUUGCAGCGCUGCCGCAUGACACGCUCCAGCCCAAGGCAGCUGGCAGUCCCGACGUCAGGCAGAUGGUGCCCCCGAAGCGGAGCCACAACUAACUACAACAACAAGGAUCCUCAAGGAUCAGUGAGGGGUAUGAUUUCAUGUGUUUGGUUUCACGACGGUCUGGUUCUGCGUCCAUGGGGAGAUGGCCAUGCUCAUGUAGCGGUUCAAAUUCGGCGCCGCGCAAUGCGCGAUAGAGCGUUAUUGUGUUAUGCUGCUACCCGGUGUGCCACACAAGCCUCUGUGACCUCUCCUUGCUGUUGUCAUCAGCGUCGUCGGCAACGCCCUUGACGGCGAAGUGGCCGGCUACAGUCUGACAGAACCAUCUGGUUGUAUGGCCACGAUGGCUUGGCUGGAGGAGAGUCCAUGGCGUACGAUUCCAUAAGAAAUCUGGCUUAGAUCCAUCUACCAUUGAGGAGGUUGGGCUGGGUCAACGAGCCAAGCCCUGGAUCUGGGCCACUCAUCAUGAAAGGGUCACUAUUUUGGGCAUACAAUAAUUUUAGCAAGACAAGAAGUAAGCGUCAUUGACCUAUGAGGAUUCAGUUUCAAGAGAAGAACGCAAAAUCUAUAACCUCCCCAGUUCCUCUGUUUGCAAAUAUGUCUAUUGGAAAACUUUUCAGCAACCUUGAAAAGCUGGUGAAUCUCGCACCACCCCUCGUCGUCACCUGCCACCCCAAUGGCCGGAUCCCGUGGCCGCCGGUCGACGCCAUCCAUUCGCAGUGCGGAUCCGCGCUGCCGCCGCCACGAGCGAAGCGUGGGUGCGUCCUCCUCACUCCGCCACCACGAUGUCGCGCCCCCCUCCGACGGGCUCGCCGGCUUCCCCGAUCUCCCCGCGCCGCCACCGCCGUAGAGGAAGUACCUUGGCGUCCGACAGCAGGCGUUGAGGACGUGGGUGUCCGAAAUCAUGGAUCAGGAGACCCACAAGAAGCAUUGUGUGGGCCCUUUUCACACCGUCGUGCUCGCCGCAAAGGAGUACAAUCGGUGGCAGCUCCGGCUGCACAGCGCCGCUGCCUUUCCUGAACUUUGCGUUUGUGGAGGGUCCUUUGCAGCCUCCACCGCCGCGGGGGGUGGUGACAGGAGCUAUGGGUACGGAGGACCGGGAGGAGAGUGAGCGCAUUGCGUCGGAGGCCGCCGACAAGGAGUACAUGGCGGACCUCCACCGCAGGUACCAUGAGCUGGUGGUGCUGGAGCGCAAGCUCUUCGUGGAGGCGAAGCGCGGGGUCGACGGCGAGGCAUCAUCCUCUCGGACGACGAGGAGGACGGCGAUGCAGAGGACGACGAGGACUUCAACUUAAAGAGUUGCGGCGGAUCUUCCCCGACUGCGGCGACGACGACACAGGGCCAGACCUGGUGGGCGGUGGGAUUUCCCCGGCGGAUUGGCUCGCCCUCUACAAGAUUGACGAUGUUUAGUUUUAGCUGGAGUUCAUAUUUGGGUUUAACUUCAAGUUCAUGUUUAGGUCUAAAAACUAGAUUAUGUUUUAUGUACAUUAUGUGUCGAAUUCCGGUUGCUUAAAUUGAAUCUAUGUUGAACUUAUAAAAUUUUGCUUUUUACGCCGUUAAA